CCUACGGGAGGCUGCAGUGAGGAAUAUUGGUCAAUGGACGAGAGUCUGAACCAGCCAAGUAGCGUGAAGGAUGACUGCCCUAUGAGUUGUAAACUGCUUUUAUAUGAGAAUAAAAUGUUCCACGUGUGUGCUGUUGUAUGUACCAUAUGAAUAAGGAUCGGCUAACUCCGUGCCAGCAGCCGCGGUAAUACGGAGGAUCCGAGCGUUAUCCGGAUUUAUUGGGUUUAAAGGGUGCGUAGGUGGAUUGUUAAGUCAGUUGUGAAAGUUUGCGGCUCAACCGUAAAAUUGCAGUUGAAACUGGCGGUCUUGAGUAGAGUAGAGGUGGGCGGAAUGCGUGGUGUAGCGGUGAAAUGCUUAGAGAUCACGAAGAACUCCGAUUGCGAAGGCAGCUCACUAGACUGCAACUGACACUGAGGCUCGAAAGUGUGGGUAUCAAACAGGAUUAGAUACCCUAGUAGUC
Molecule: ribosomal RNA, 460 nt
Filed under: uncultured bacterium
Lineage: Bacteria
Description: partial 16S ribosomal RNA
Rfam family: Bacterial small subunit ribosomal RNA
Source: RNAcentral